Molecule: ribosomal RNA, 239 nt
Filed under: uncultured bacterium
Lineage: Bacteria
Description: partial 16S ribosomal RNA
Rfam family: Bacterial small subunit ribosomal RNA
Source: RNAcentral
UACGUAGGGUGCAAGCGUUGUCCGGAAUUAUUGGGCGUAAAGAGCUCGUAGGCGGUUUGUCGCGUCUGCUGUGAAAACCCGAGGCUCAACCUCGGGCCUGCAGUGGGUACGGGCAGACUAGAGUGCGGUAGGGGAGAUUGGAAUUCCUGGUGUAGCGGUGGAAAUGCGCAGAUAUCAGGAGGAACACCAAUGGCGAAGGCAGAUCUCUGGGCCGUAACUGACGCUGAGGCGCGAAAGCG